AUGGACGCUGGCGGCGUGCCUAAUACAUGCAAGUCGAGCGAACGGACGAGAAGCUUGCUUCUCUGAUGUUAGCGGCGGACGGGUGAGUAACACGUGGAUAACCUACCUAUAAGACUGGGAUAACUUCGGGAAACCGGAGCUAAUACCGGAUGAUAUUUUGAACCGCAUGGUUCAAAAGUGAAAGACGGUCUUGCUGUCACUUAUAGAUAGAUCCGCGCUGCAUUAGCUAGUUGGUAAGGUAACGGCUUACCAAGGCAACGAUGCAUAGCCGACCUGAGAGGGUGAUCGGCCACACUGGAACUGAGACACGGUCCAGACUCCUACGGGAGGCAGCAGUAGGGAAUCUUCCGCAAUGGGCGAAAGCCUGACGGAGCAACGCCGCGUGAGUGAUGAAGGUCUUCGGAUCGUAAAACUCUGUUAUUAGGGAAGAACAUAUGUGUAAGUAACUGUGCACAUCUUGACGGUACCUAAUCAGAAAGCCACGGCUAACUACGUG
This 496-nucleotide ribosomal RNA is filed under the name uncultured bacterium. RNAcentral's name for it is "partial 16S ribosomal RNA". It matches the Rfam family "Bacterial small subunit ribosomal RNA", at positions 29 to 507 of the family's 1533-position model. The record is from RNAcentral.